CUGUGCUUAGCUUAUAGUUUAAAGUGUUGGUUUGAAGGUCCAAGGAAAGAUUUGUUCUAGCUCAGG
RNAcentral lists this transfer RNA (66 nucleotides) under Azygia hwangtsiyui. Its description in RNAcentral is "tRNA-Phe". The record is from RNAcentral. Lineage: Eukaryota; Metazoa; Platyhelminthes; Trematoda; Azygiida; Azygiidae.